UACGGAGGGUGCAAGCGUUAUCCGGAUUCACUGGGUUUAAAGGGUGCGUAGGUGGGCAGGUAAGUCAGUGGUGAAAUCUCCGGGCUUAACCCGGAAACUGCCAUUGAUACUAUCUGUCUUGAAUACCGUGGAGGUGAGCGGAAUAUGUCAUGUAGCGGUGAAAUACUUAGAUAUGACACAGAACUCCGAUUGCGAAGGCAGCUCACUAAACUGUAACUGACGCUGAGGCACGAAAGCGUGGGGAUCAAACAGG
RNAcentral lists this ribosomal RNA (253 nucleotides) under uncultured bacterium. RNAcentral's name for it is "partial 16S ribosomal RNA". It matches the Rfam family "Bacterial small subunit ribosomal RNA", at positions 524 to 776 of the family's 1533-position model. The record is from RNAcentral.